CGGGAGGCAGGAGGUCUUCACCAGACGGUGCUGCGUCUCAAGGGGAUUAGAGAAAAUGGCCAAUCUGGGCUUCUAAACCGAUGGUCGACACUGCACCUCCUCCACUGGUUCUGCCCUUACGCAGCACCGCAUUAUUUCGUCUCCUCAGUCUUGCUACUGGCCACAAAAACCGUCGAUCUUCGUCUCUCGCUAAUCAGUGCCUUCGGCUAACCGUAACGUCCAUCAUCUGCCACGCGACCUCAAAUUGUCCAAUGCCCCAAUACGGUCUGAUCUCAACGAAGGCGGUGGCAGCAACUUGGAUACCAAUGCAAGGAAGAGCCGAAACCAGAUGAAGCGAGAGGCUCGGCUCGCCGUCCGUCGGAGCAUUGAACUUCCAUCCUUUUUUACUCCUUGAAUCAAACGUACUCUCAGGUGCCCCCGCCAAUAUUCCCUUGCUGCGAAAACAGCCCUGUAUGCAUUGUUUUCUUUCGAAUUACAAAUUCAAUUGAGCUCAAAUUGACGUUGAUAAAUGCCGAGUAGCUUCCCUUGUCGAAGAGGCGUUCGAAGCUCCAAUGCCAGUGAAGGUGCUUCCGUAGUUGUAGACUUGUUUUCUGUGAUAAACUACGACAGGAUGUGCAGCGUGAAUUAUGGAUGGCUUGACUCAGGACAAAAGAUGGUGACCAGAUGAGGCUGCAGGCUUUGUCCGUUUCAAUGGUUAGGGGAGAGGAUGAUCAUGAAGAAGCAGAAGAAAGGAUCUGAUCAUAAAGACAUUAACAUAACAACCAGAUGGUUUGAAGGUCUGUUCGGUAAGGACAUUAUAAUCAACGAUGAAGUUUAUUCAGUUCAGAGUGUUGAAUUUAGAGUAAUGCUACUACACAUACACUCGUGGAGUCAACAAGCACCACGUAAUCUUUUUGAAAAAAAAUAAGGUCUAUUAUUUAAAAAUUAUUAUUUUUUAUGUAGAUUUCAUAUAUAUCUAUUUUUUAAAAAAAUAUUAUGCGGCGCUUACCCAUUUCACGACUGUAAAUAUCAUUUCUCUUGAAUUUAACCGCAAGGUAUGUUGAAAUAUUCCACCUCUGCUAUUCUGAUCACCAAGAUAUAUCUUUUCAGGGAAAAUUUAAUAAUUAGUCCUUGGCUUUGGGUUGUCCUAUUAUAACCGUAGUAAUAUUUAUUUUGCCCUAACGUUAUCGUAAUGAAUUGAAUAACGGCGGGUUUUAGGGCUGGCUGUAUGCAGACUGGACUUGUGCCAUGUUAGAGGCAGGCCCCAAUCUAGGUUUGGGCCGUUAUAUGACAUCUAAAAUUAGGCUCGUGGUCGCAUAGGUUGAUGUUUGGGUCAUACAGCCUAGAAGCCCCAAUUGUAAUCUUAAUUCAAGGAAAAGGGGAAAUUGUUCUCCUAUCUCUGGUUAUAUGAUCAAGUUUUCUAAAGAGUUUUGUUAGUUACAAAUUUAGUGUACAACUCAUGAAACCAUUAUAAUUAUAUAUAAAAAAAUUUAAAAUAUUAAUAUGGAUUAUUAUUGUGGGAUCUAUUUUAAUAGUGUGUUGGGUGUGUCCAAAGAUAGGAUUGUAAAAUUAUAUGAUGAUCCUUGUGAGCCAAGAGAAUGAAAAGGUCCAUGGCCAUACAUUCAGUACUUUGUCCUGGCUGUACAUUUUUUUUAUUGGCAUCUGGUGUCAAGAACAGCAUCCUGACUAAUUCUGAGGGUGCACAAUUCUCGACAGAGAGUUUUUUGUAAGUGUACUUCGGAUAAUUCAAGGAAAAAAUCAUGAAGUCUGAUGGUCUCUAGAAAUUGUUUGCAUCCAAGCAAAUUUGAAUCUUAGCCUUGGAGGAAUUAGGGAGCAUACUCCCAAGACCAAUGCCUUUACCACUUAAACCAAUUGUUGGGAUGUUUGUUUUGUAAGAAGCCUUAGUACACCAUAAGACACGUUAGCUCUUAGAUGCAAGCUUAUUAGGAUCAUAAAGUUCCAAACCCUUUCCUAUAUGCUCUUCAGCUCGUGAAGAGGUUAGCAUCUGAAAAGAAUCUAUUAAUUAUUAUUUAUUCAUGUAAUCAUAAGUGUAAAAUUUAACAAUUUUAAGAACAUAAUGUCAACUUGUAGUAGGCGUGGUGACGAUUGGAGAAGCUAGCUGCAUGCACAGUGUGGGCGGUGGACGGUUCUCGGACAAAAAUUGACAUGUCAGUGUAGAUAACUACAAAAGAACUGCUGUUAAAAAAAAGCAAUCUAGUAUGGCAAUAAUGAGGUUUAGGUAAUGGCAGUUUGUCUCGCCAUUUGCAUCAGCUGAUGUGAUUUUAAAUAUUCAGCCAAUUAACACAUCAAGGUUGCUCAGACAUUGUUAUCGAUUGCAGUCCGAGGGAAGAAUACAAAGCAAAAGAUGCCAUUUCUUUCGAAUGGGUUCAUAGACUGCUGAACGAUGUGAUUUCAUUUUUGGUUGUUUUUCUAUUAUUCAUUUUGGUUUUUAUGCGAA
This is a long non-coding RNA of Juglans microcarpa x Juglans regia, 2437 nucleotides long. RefSeq lists it as uncharacterized. The transcript is spliced from 3 exons. The record is from RefSeq and is a predicted model, not a curated record. NCBI's taxonomy places the organism in Eukaryota, Viridiplantae, Streptophyta, Magnoliopsida, Fagales, Juglandaceae.